This 2003-nucleotide long non-coding RNA is filed under the name Brassica rapa (field mustard). Its description in RNAcentral is "long non-coding RNA (BRAP_LNC000247)". Lineage: Eukaryota; Viridiplantae; Streptophyta; Magnoliopsida; Brassicales; Brassicaceae. The record is from RNAcentral.
AAAUAAAUACGAAAAACGAUUAAGAAGGGAUCAAAGUGAGUAUGGUUCAAUAUAUUGAAAUUACAUUCUAAACUACUUACAUAUUUCUAAGGCCCUAGUAAUGUAUACAAAUAAAUGUUAUGUGACAUAUAUGGGAUGUCAGGUGAUACCCCUCAUUUAUUAGUAGAUCAGUCAUUGCUACAAAUGGAGAUGAGAGAACCAUUGAAUCCAAAGAAUAAAGAAGAAAAAGGAGAAGCUUAAGAGAAGGAGGAGCCAAAAGGAAAUAAGAUCGGUAUCGCUGGUUCGGAGCACAUGAUUGGAUGGGACAAAAUCACACCCAUUUACUGACUCGUCUCCAUAGCCACUGAGAUCCCUAACCAUAUUUUUGAAACUGUUCUCAAAGCGAACCGCAAACUUAAGAAGAGAGCCCAAUGGUUCCGAUCUAUAGCUAAACCCCACCCAUAUGUCGCUCCUCUUCACCGAUAGACCUUCGUUGCCAUGCCGUUAGACUGGAAACCCUAUACCGCAUUGAAUAUGUAUAAAAAAUUGAAGAAGGCUUAGGGGGUUCUAGUUCAAAUAUGCCCCACAGAUUUCAAAGGAGAAGUCGAAACCAUUGCACCACCGCAAACCACCGUGCGUCACACAGCCGUUCCAGAUCCAAAAUACCACUGCUAUCGGAAAAUUGAGAAGGUCGUCAAUGAAACACAUGAUGAAAAGAAAAACAAGUAAAAGAAACGUUUUCUUGACACCAGAGAAAAUUUGUGUCGGAGAGGUGAAUGACGACAAAAAGAUGUCUGCAAUUUAUAGUAUUGGUAUGAACGUUUUUAUUUUUAUUUCUAUGUUCGAAAUUAGAAUUGAUUUAUUUUUGUUCAAACUCGGCAGUUGAAAUAGUGGUAAGAAAGCACGAAAAUAGUCAGCAGUUCGGAAAACACUCUUAAAGUGCACAUUGUUGAAAAACAGUGUCGGUUUUAUUUACUCUUAGAGUGUAAAUAAUCUACAACCAUAUGUAAGUUAAACACAUCACUGCUUAACAAAUAAAUAUUUUUGUAUAAAAUCUCAAAUUCUAUACUUUGACUGUUAUAAACAAGAAUUUUCGAAAUAAAACCUUGUUUUAUCUUUAUCUUUUAAAUAAAUUUUAAAACAAAUUUCAUUCGUAAUUGACUAACAAAUAAAUUUGGUAAAAUUGGAAUAUAGAUUCUGCUCACAAAACGGUAGUUAUAUGUUUAGAUAACUCAUUUUUAUAGAUGUAUACUCCCUUCGUUUUAUUAAGUGUCACUUGAUAUUUUUUACGGAAAUUAAGAAAAUUGUGUAAUAGACUAAUAUAUCUCUAUUUAAUAGUAUUUGAUUAAUUAAAUGAGAUUCAUUUAAAUAAAAAUCUAUUUUUAUUCAAAAAGGUAAAAAGUAGAGUUAAUGUAUAAAUUUAUAUUAAAAUUAUAGAAUGACAUUUAUUUUGAAACAAAAUAAAAAAAACUUAAAGUGACACUUAUUAUAAAACAUAUGGAGUAUUUAUUAUUCUUCAAAUAUUGUGACGCGUCUGCUCAAAUAUUUUUAUUUUAGAAGUAAUAUGGUAAAAAAAUGUUUCCAAAAAAUAUAUUGUAAGUUCUUUUUUUGUAUAUACUCCAGUAAUUAUUUUGUUCUAUUGAUUUUGUAUUGCCAAUCGGAUCCACCUGCUAAGUUUUGUCCAGUGCGUAAUUUACUCUCGUCCUUAUAUCACAACACGACAUGUGACUCGAAGUUCGAGUUUGAGAUGUCGGCUAUGGUCGUGGGCUCUAAGCUAGGCGGCUGGGAAUCAUAGGGUGAACUUAUGGAUCAUCAUCUCCACAAUUUUUGUAUGUAACCUGGUCCCCUUUUCUCGAUAGUGUUUUAAGUUACAUUAUUACACAUUUACACCUAUGAGUAGGUGGUGCGAUAUUUUCUGCGGGUAUUUCACUGUACUUAAUGGUUCAAUUAUUGCGUUCAUCUUGACCAAUCUUGUUGUCGGUCGAUAUUUUUUCUUUCUUCAAUAUUUUUCGUAUUUGUGUGAC